ACAAAGAAGGUGUGCAUGGUGACACCCCGUACUUACCGCUUAAGGGGUCGCGCUCCCAGGAAGCUGUAGUUACUCCUCGCAUGGGUAACUUAGUCGAAUAGCUUGAAGAGUAAAAGUGACGCUCAAGUAGAAGGGGGCUCCAGAUGGUGACACGUGUACAGCUGGAUGCGAGCCACGUGUCCAGAGGUGUAACCGUCAGGAGAGAGAAA
This 209-nucleotide long non-coding RNA is filed under the name Phaseolus vulgaris (common bean). RNAcentral describes it as "long non-coding RNA (PVUL_LNC005044)". The record is from RNAcentral. Lineage: Eukaryota; Viridiplantae; Streptophyta; Magnoliopsida; Fabales; Fabaceae.